This 490-nucleotide ribosomal RNA is filed under the name uncultured bacterium. RNAcentral's name for it is "partial 16S ribosomal RNA". It matches the Rfam family "Bacterial small subunit ribosomal RNA", at positions 30 to 507 of the family's 1533-position model. The record is from RNAcentral.
AUUGAACGCUGGCGGCAGGCCUAACACAUGCAAGUCGAACGGUAACAGGAAACAGCUUGCUGUUUCGCUGACGAGUGGCGGACGGGUGAGUGAUGUCUGGGGAACUCUCUGAUGUCGGGGGAUAACUACUGGAAACGGUAACUAAUACCGCAUAACGUCGCAAGACCAAAGAGGGGGACCUUCUGGCCUCUUGCCAUCUGAUAUGCCCAGAUGGGAUUAGCUAGUAGGUGGGGUAAAGGCUCACCCAGGCGACGAUCCCUAGCUGGUCUGAGAGGAUGACCAGCCACACUGGAACUGAGACACGGUCCAGACUCCUACGGGAGGCAGCAGUGGGGAAUAUUGCACAAUGGGCGCAAGCCUGAUGCAGCCAUGCCGCGUGUAUGAAGAAGGCCUUCGGGUUGUAAAGUACUUUCGGCGGGGAGGAAGAGAGUAAAGUUAAUACCUCGACUUAUUGACGUUACCCGAAGAAGAAGCACCGGCUAACUUCGUG